GGGGUUGUAUUUCAGUGGUAGAAGUCUUGCCUGGCAUGCAUGAGACCAUGGGUUCAAUCCCUACUACCACA
Ictidomys tridecemlineatus (thirteen-lined ground squirrel) is the source of this 71-nucleotide non-coding RNA. NCBI's taxonomy places the organism in Eukaryota, Metazoa, Chordata, Mammalia, Rodentia, Sciuridae. The record is from Rfam.